RNAcentral lists this ribosomal RNA (505 nucleotides) under uncultured soil bacterium. RNAcentral's name for it is "bacterial SSU rRNA". It matches the Rfam family "Bacterial small subunit ribosomal RNA", at positions 26 to 525 of the family's 1533-position model. The record is from RNAcentral.
AGAUUGAACGCUGGCGGCAGGCCUAACACAUGCAAGUCGAGCGGCAGCACGGGUACUUGUACCUGGUGGCGAGCGGCGGACGGGUGAGUAAUGCCUAGGAAUCUGCCUGGUAGUGGGGGAUAACGCUCGGAAACGGACGCUAAUACCGCAUACGUCCUACGGGAGAAAGCAGGGGACCUUCGGGCCUUGCGCUAUCAGAUGAGCCUAGGUCGGAUUAGCUAGUUGGUGAGGUAAUGGCUCACCAAGGCGACGAUCCGUAACUGGUCUGAGAGGACGACCAGCCACACUGGGACUGAGACACGGCCCAGACUCCUACGGGAGCAGCAGUGGGAAUUUUGGACAAUGGGCGAAAGCCUGAUCCAGCCAUGCCGCGUGCAGGAUGAAGGCCUUCGGUGUAACUGCUUUUGUACGGUAACGAAACGUCUCUUUACUAAUAAAGAGGAUCAGUGACGGUACCGUAAGAAUAAGCACCGGCUAACUACGUGACCAGCGAGCCGCGUUAACG